RNAcentral lists this small nuclear RNA (20 nucleotides) under Arabidopsis thaliana (thale cress). RNAcentral describes it as "snRNA_16293". Lineage: Eukaryota; Viridiplantae; Streptophyta; Magnoliopsida; Brassicales; Brassicaceae. The record is from RNAcentral.
CCACUUUUGUGGACUAUGAA